Molecule: unclassified non-coding RNA, 433 nt
Filed under: uncultured Bordetella sp.
Lineage: Bacteria; Pseudomonadati; Pseudomonadota; Betaproteobacteria; Burkholderiales; Alcaligenaceae
Description: partial 16S-23S ribosomal RNA intergenic spacer
Source: RNAcentral
ACUACGGGGGUAUCUAAUCCUGUUUGCUCCCACGCUUUCGUGCAUGAGCGUAGUGUUAUCCCGGAGGCUGCCUUCGCCAUCGGUGUUCCUCCGCAUAUCUACGCAUUUCCUGCUACACGCGGAAUUCCACCUCCCUCGACGCACUCUAAGCUCGGUAGUUAAAAAUGCGGUUCCAAAGUUCAGCUCUGAGUUCCAUCUUUCUUUCCGAACCCAUAACGCACACUUCACCAAUGCCUUCGAUUGUGCACCUACGUAUUGCGGCUGCUGGCACGUGGUCGCCCAGGUGCUUAUUCUGCAGGUAUAAUCCAAUUGAGGUAGUAUCCGUGCCGUUCUUCCUGCAAAAGUGCUUUACAGCUCCCGAGGCCUUCAUCGCACUUGGAUGGCUGGAUCGGGUUUCCCCUGUUGUCAAAAUUCCCCACUGCUGCGCCCCGUA